CACACAUUCGGGAAUGAAGUGCUCCCGUAACCGUAAUUGGUAAAACCGCUUGAGAGAGCUGAUGACUUCUGUGAAUAC
Molecule: non-coding RNA, 78 nt
Filed under: Lachnoclostridium sp. An14
Lineage: Bacteria; Bacillati; Bacillota; Clostridia; Lachnospirales; Lachnospiraceae
Also listed under: 1 other name
Description: Fluoride riboswitch aptamer (crcB RNA motif)
Rfam family: Fluoride riboswitch aptamer (crcB RNA motif)
Source: Rfam by way of RNAcentral